UGUAUAAAUAUUUAAAAAAAUUUUAUAUUUAUGAGAGGUAAGUAAUCUUAAGUAUGUUGGAGUCAAAUCUUAUGUUUCCCACUGCAAAUCAAGGCUGCCUAAUCUGAAAGCCAAUUGGAGUUAAAGAAGAACAACCCCUCAUAAUCUAACAGAAUCUCUUUAUUUACACAUUUUCAAAAUCUCUAACUACAUGGAUGUGAGAAAUGAUGCAUAUGCACAUUAGGUACACUUAAUAAUUUUUUAUA
This 245-nucleotide unclassified non-coding RNA is filed under the name Hevea brasiliensis (rubber tree). The record is from RNAcentral. Lineage: Eukaryota; Viridiplantae; Streptophyta; Magnoliopsida; Malpighiales; Euphorbiaceae.